This is a long non-coding RNA of Quercus lobata, 371 nucleotides long. RefSeq lists it as uncharacterized. The record is from RefSeq and is a predicted model, not a curated record. The transcript has 3 exons. Lineage: Eukaryota; Viridiplantae; Streptophyta; Magnoliopsida; Fagales; Fagaceae.
CCCCUUCUUACAUGGUAGCCUUCUCUCCCUCACCAAGAAAAAAUAUCCCUCUCUAAAGAAGAAAUUAAAGGGUUAACACUAAAAUUUCAGCUUCAAAUUGUUGGGGGUGGCGAGAACGAGAACACGAACACUUGAGCUCCUCGUGUACAAUCUCUCGCGCCUUCUGUUUUCAGUGCACAGGUUCUUCCUGGAAGCAGCGAGAGUAUUAGAGGUGGCAAGGAUUUCGUGUUUUCUCGUUUGUUAGAAUGUAGAGUUUUGUUGUAUAGCAGUUAGCUCUUUUGUUGUAUAGAAGGAAUCAAGAUGUACUUGAUCCUUUGAGCACAGAUUAAUUCGGUACCUUAGUUGUUCUGAACCCCAGUUGUAUGUCUUUG